GCACUGCUGCCGAGUCCCAAACAGAACGAAACGGCUGUCCAAUGU
RNAcentral lists this non-coding RNA (45 nucleotides) under Echinostoma caproni. The record is from RNAcentral. Lineage: Eukaryota; Metazoa; Platyhelminthes; Trematoda; Plagiorchiida; Echinostomatidae.